Non-coding RNA from Pisolithus thermaeus, 72 nucleotides. The record is from the annotation of a GenBank genome assembly. NCBI's taxonomy places the organism in Eukaryota, Fungi, Basidiomycota, Agaricomycetes, Boletales, Pisolithaceae.
AGCGAUAUAGUGUAGUGGAGUGCACAGCAGUCUCAUGAGCUGCUAGAUUUGGUUCAAUUCCAAAAUUCGCUA